CGGUUUUACAAAAAAGAAGUACGGUCACAACGGUCCGAGGGCUUCUCUGCAAUGGCACGCGAAUACGCCUCGUACGAUGCAGUGAUAUUUGAUGGAGUAAACAAGCAAUCAUAAAACUGAGGAGAGAUUUUCGAAGCUAAACUCACUUCGCAUUGAAACUUCUAGUGGAAUAGAUAGAUAACUGGACUAAUAAGUCAAAAAAUCAGAAAAGUAAUAUUCUUUUGGUUUAUAUCCUUUCGUAAUUUCGUAAUAUACAAUUUGAGACUACCAAUCCGUUUACUUACUUAUUUCUUUUAUUUAUUAAGAGAAUGGCAAAAUUUCCAAACACGAGUGAGUUUCGUAUCAUAAGUAAUACCGAAGAGGAAUUUCAAGUAGACAUUUAUACGAUUAGAAAAAAUGAAUAUUAAUAGGGAAGAAAACGAGAGAAGUGAUAGUGAUGACAUCAAGCAAAAAAAACGGAGAGAUCUCAUAUAUACUGCGAGGGAUGAUAAUAUGGAAAGAGAAUUCAUUCAACAUUUAUCAUAGACAUCGUAAAAAAUUAUAAAGGACAAAAUUAUGAUUUUGAAUAGGCGCACAUAGAAUCUAACACUGUUAUAAUUUUCCUGCAGCUUAGUAAAGAUCUAUUAUACUUCUUUCUAGCCAUCGUAAUUCGGUCAAUAGAUUUCAAUUCGGUCAAUGUCAACAUUCUCUUCGCACAAAAUAAAUAAAUAUGAAUAAUUAAAUGUCAAAAAAAUUUUCCUACUCGGGAAGUAGAUAAACGCAAUUCGAUUUUUACAUAGUGAAUCACAUGUGGAAUCAAAUGGGGAAAAAAGAAUCAAAAAGAAAAAAAAGAAAUAAAAGCAAAAAGGAAAGUUCCCGUAAACGGUAGUAUCGAUCCAAAAUUAUUGCUAACAUUAUGAAGAGAUAAUCGGGGAUAUUAGCUUCGUGAAUAUAUAGAAAAGAGAAGGUUAAACGAAACAGCGCAUGCUCGAGUCGAUAUAAGAGAUGUUGCUAGCCAUCCGCGGAAGUUGAAUAAACCGUUUAUUCCGUUUCGAAUCGUGCUACCAGCAAGUUCCUGCGAGUGUCCAAAUAAUAUUCCAAACAGAAACGAAUCAGAAUAAUAUAUAAGCUCCUGACCAGUGAAAAUAGUGGAUAGUAUCUAGAAGAUUCUGCAGAACACACUAUCGAUAGUUGUAAAUGUUCUGAUUAUCAAUGGAAGCACAAUUAUAUUCCCUAUUACUUAUCGAAAGGAACAUUCGAUACAUCCAUUAUUUCAUAUAUGUAUCGAUUUAUAUUUAUAUAUAUGUUCACUUAUCCAUCUGUUUUUUCUAUAAUGCCUUACUUACGAUGUAUAUAUUAGAGGCAAACUACGAGCGCAUAUAUUUAUAUUUUUAUCUAUUAUUUCGUAAAUUAUCUGCGCUGUCUUAUUAAUUAAGAAGGAAGUAAAUAGAUGUAAGUUGAAAAAGAAAAUUGAAAGAUAAGAAAGUGAAAAUAGAUAUUUAAAUUCAAGAAAAAAAGAAGCGAACGAGUGUGUAUUAGGAAAGUGGAUCAGUUGAUAUCGAAUUCACAUUUUCAUAUAUUUGUUUAGGAUACAUCAUUUGUAAUCAAAUUAUUGAUAAACAUUUACUUCUUCGGAAUAUGAAGACAAAAUUGGCGAAAAAAAAGAAAAUAAUUAAAAGUUAAUCGAAAACUUGGAAUAAUUUAUUUUUAAUCGAGGCAACAUCGUGUCCAGACCAAACUUUAAGAAAGAAAAGAUAAUUAACAAUUAAACCGUAGUACCUGAACAUUGGCUGCAUAUUUGGAUUCGAUAAUGGGAUUCGCUAAUAAUAUUCAUUAUUUUCUUGGUAAGUUGCAUCUUAUUUAAAUUUUAUAGUAUCUAACGCGAAGAUUAAUUUUCAUAAGAUUUUGUUCUGUAUAUUGCAUGCUAUGGACAAUAGGUUAAUUUUAUAUCCUAUCUAUAAGUUAUAUUAGAGACGCUACGUUAUGCAUUAUUUUAUACAACUUCAUAUCCAAUACUACGAUAUAUUGUUUUAUAGUAGAUUAUAGAAAAUUGCGUAGUUUCUUAUUAUUUCUUCAUGCUAUAGUUAACUUAUUUUUAUUAUUAUUAGAUACUAUAUUUUACGUGUGAAUUAUCUUUUACUUGUUGCAUAAUUUUGAAUUAUUGUGUAAUAUUAAACCGAGGAGAAAGGCUAAUUAGGGGUUAUCGGAAUUAGGAUAUUUCUUUUUAGACAUUUAUACGAUCCAAUCGUAUAAUCGUAUAUAGAGCCAACUGUUGCGCAUCUGUUUGCUAUUCCGUGAUAUUAUUCCGUAUUUGCUAUUUCAAUGAUACUACCUGUUGAAGAGUCUAACAAACUAGGUGAAUUGCUUGUCUGAAACUAGUAAUUGCUUGUUUGCCGGUCAGCUAAUCAAUUAGAAUAGAGAUUCAUGAUUCCAUGAUAAGAAUACAAAGAGACGAACGUAGAGACGACGUGUCUUCCGGAGACACAUAUCCGCAACCGAACCGAUUUCCUUUACUUUUGCGAUGAGACCUAUUAGUUUUCGUUUUCAAUUAUUAUACUAUCAGUUUGCGUGAAUCUAAAGUUCAUUUCAGAAUGUUUUAAGGAGAUUCUGACAUUUUUUCUGAUAAAAAUAAAAUUUUGAAAAUGGACUCAAAUUUUUGCAUAAAUAAUUUGGACGCUGAUUAGGUAUAUUAAAAGAUUAAUUGAAUAUUUUUUAUAUUUUCGGAAGACUGAAGUAUGUUUAACAAAAAAAGAUAUUUAAGGCAUCAAAAUUUUUUCAGGAUCAAUAUUUAUUAAUGUCAAUAUGAAAAUCAUUCCAUUGUAAUAGUUCCAAUAGAACUAUUCGGAAGGAGUAAAUUAAAAAUAUUUGAAUGUUCAUAUAUGUGAUAUAUACUAUUGAUAUUAUCGUUAUUGACAUCAGUAUUCAUAUAAUGGAGCUUCUCGGAAAAAUUAGUAAGACAGAUCUAUCGAAAUAAUUAUAUCGAUCUUCGUUUAUAUCAGUAUAUGUGUACGUACUUAUUUCUAAUUUUUGUUCGUAGAUGAUUGUGAUAAUUGUUCCUUUUCACGUAGUAAUUGUUUCACACGAUCGAAUCGACGGAGGAAAUAUAGAAAUUUGCAUAAAGAGAAAUAGAAGGAAAAAGGUUUUUGAUGCGGUGUUACCACAGAUUGUUGAAAGUUGAUAUUCUAUAUGCAAGUCGAAAAGAGUCAAUUGCAGAACAGAAGGAAAUUAUUAGAGAAAAAUAAUAAUGGCUGCUAUAUACAUCCAUUCCUGGCAAACUACUGUAAGUAAUUUUUCAUUUUCUUCAUUAACGAGUAAUAAUUAUAAUAAUAAAAUUUGUGAAAAUUCUGCUUUAGUUUUCUAAUUGGAUCAUUUUGUAGUCUCACUGAUAUGGAGACAAUGAUCACAGCGAUUGGCUUCCCAUAUCAUGUUGCAUAAAACCAGAGAACUUUAACACUUUUGAUCCUAAUGGUGCAUACGUUGGUGUUUUAUUAAGGAAACUUAGUAAAAUAUUUGCAAUAAUAUAAAAACACGUUUGGAUGUUAACAUUUAACAGUCUCCUAUUUUAAUUAAUUAGGGUUAUUACAAAAGUGUAUUUCAUUCGAUCAAUAGCGAUAGGAUACUACGUCUUAAGAGUUAUCAUGAAUUGUACCUUCCAAAAUCUUUAAUAAUAAUAAUUUGCUUAAUUACGUUUAUUCAUAGAGGGAGGCACAGCCAUUUUCGCUAAUUCAUUACAUUUUUUUACAAUUACCUUAAAGAAAAACUUAUUCAAUUUUUUCUUAUGUACACGUAGGUGAAUGUAAUUUUCUUCAUUCUUUGCAGGCGGCAGCGAAAGAACUUCGAUGUUUAUUCGUCGGAGUACAAAAAACUGAUCUGGUAACUCGCAAUCUAAAAGUCCAAGUCAUUCAUUUGUUGAUUUUACACGCUACCAACAACUGCCAUUUUUAAAUUUAAGUCUAAUAGAAAAUAAAUUAAAAUUGUUUGAUAUACCGUCUGUGUUCCAUAGCAUGUAAUGUUUAGCGAAAUCUACUAUUGCUUAAACAGUGAAUAGUUUAACUCGUCGUACAUUUAUAUCGUUUAAAUGAGUUUAAAAUUAUCAAAAGUAUUAAGUUUGAAGUUUUCACCUUUAAAAAGUGAGAGCGAAGCGUCAGUCAUUCCAAUGUUCGUUUUUAUUGGCAUCACACGCAGCUACGAAACUCAGAUGCAAGUAUUCCAAUAUGAAAAUCAUAAAUUAUUUACAUUUUAGCUUAAAAUUAUUUUAUGUUAUUCGCGCGUUACGAUAUUCGUAAUGUUUAAGCGAAUAUACUAUCGUUUAAAUAUUACGGUUAUGAAAAUAAUUCAAAGGGUUAAAAAGUGCAAAGGGUUAAAAAGAAAAAUAAUUGUUACAAAGUAGCCUGAAAAAAAAAGCAAACAAAUAUGUAUUCAGAAAGUAUUACAAUUUCAUAUUCUCUAUGUUUGCGGUAUAUGUAAACUGGAUUUUUGAUUUAUAUUUACUUUUCUCUUAAUUUUUCA
Vespula vulgaris is the source of this 4488-nucleotide long non-coding RNA. RefSeq lists it as uncharacterized. Lineage: Eukaryota; Metazoa; Arthropoda; Insecta; Hymenoptera; Vespidae. The record is from RefSeq and is a predicted model, not a curated record. The transcript has 3 exons.